RNAcentral lists this ribosomal RNA (484 nucleotides) under uncultured bacterium. Its description in RNAcentral is "partial 16S ribosomal RNA". It matches the Rfam family "Bacterial small subunit ribosomal RNA", at positions 30 to 507 of the family's 1533-position model. The record is from RNAcentral.
AUUGAACGCUGGCAGCAGGCCUAACACAUGCAAGUCGAGCGGAUGAAGGGAGCUUGCUCCUGUAUUCAGCGGCGGACGGGUGAGUAAUGCCUAGGAAUCUGCCUGGUAGUGGGGGAUAACGUCCGGAAACGGGCGCUAAUACCGCAUCCGUCCUGAGGGAGAACGUGGUGGAUCUUCGGACCUCACGCUAUCAGAUGAGCCUAGGUCGGAUUAGCUAGUUGGUGGGGUAAAGGCCUACCAAGGCGACGAUCCGUAACUGGUCUGAGAGGAUGAUCUGUCACACUGGAACUGAGACACGGUCCAGACUCCUACGGGAGGCAGCAGUGGGGAAUAUUGGACAAUGGGCGAAAGCCUGAUCCAGCCAUGCCGCGUGUGUGAAGAAGGUCUUCGGAUUGUAAAGCACUUUAAGUUGGGAGGAAGGGCAGUAAGUGAAUACCUUGCUGUUUUGACGUUACCAACAGAAUAAGCACCGGCUAACUUCGUG